Molecule: unclassified non-coding RNA, 1639 nt
Filed under: Yarrowia lipolytica
Lineage: Eukaryota; Fungi; Ascomycota; Dipodascomycetes; Dipodascales
Source: RNAcentral
ACGGUUUGAGCUAGUUUGGAGGGUCUGACUUUUGGGUUUCCAAACUCUCCGCCGUUGUACCGAGCGCAGCAGGAGGGGCUACGAUUGCGGAGGCGACUGGAGGCGGCGAUGGGGGCUCGGUUUGGGGCGGUUUGGGGUCUGGGUCUCCUCGCUCGGUGGCCAGCACCAUUUUGCACUCUUUGGAUUUCCCAAAAACGCCGCGCUUUACGCCCGGCCAGCUGCCUCGGCAACUGUGGCCUGCACACCACCACCACACGACUGGGUCUGUCGAUCGCUGAGACAGAGCAAUGUGGGGGGAGACACUACGGGGCAGCAAAUAAGGCGAGGAAAAAGGUAAAGAAAAAGGCAAAGAAAAAGGCAAGGAAGAAACCGACCGAUGUGAGGCGAGGCGACAAACUAAAACUCGGGCGGAUAAAACUGCCCACGGUUGAGUGAGCACAUUGACGGGUUGGCUGAUUGUGGGUUGCGGAUUCCGGAUUGCGGAUUGCGGAUUGCGGAAUGGUGGAUUGCAGAUUGGCAGGUUGACGGAUUUGUUGACUGGUCCAGCUCGAAUUCACAUCAAUAUCCGGAUGCGUUGGUCUACUCUGGUCGAUUGCUCACCGUCUCAUUCACAUGGACUUAGAGUUCUUUCUACACACGUUGACGGGAAAAAACAAGUGCAACGACAAGGGUCUGCGGACAAUCACGAUCGACACUGAUAAUGUGAGAAUAAGGGGAAAAGGCCCCGAACCAGGCGAGAAGGAUGGAUUUGCAAACCGAAAAGCAGGAAAAAACACAUGAUCUUCAAAAAGAGGGGGACACUCGCAUCAGGCAUACAAUCCUACAAUCAUACAAUCAUACAAUCAUAAAAUCAUACAACCAUCAGCACGGCCCCACAAUGUGCCUGGUUACCCCUCUCCUCCGCAAUCCAGUCUUAUCUCUCUCCCUGCUAUCUUCCCCACACCGACACCGUGGAGAAUCAGUGCCAUGCGUCGUAUCGCACAAACCGGCUCCAUCACGGCGUCUUAGGUCCGACUCGGUCAAAGGAGCGGGAGACCCGGAACCGACCGGGUUCCUGAUUGGGACUUCUUCAAAGGCUAUUUUUCGGAACUGGAAAAAACGGCCUGGCUUAGUAAUGGGCAAAGAGAGCGCAGUCUGGAGAGGCGCCGUACCACCUCACGGGGUGAUUGUCACGUGACUAGAAUUCUUGUCGUCCACAUCUCUCGUUGCACAACCGUCACUCUCGUGUCCCCGCACAACCCUCCUGGCUCCCCCGCCCCCCCCGGCUGCCAUCCCCACAAAGUUUAUUAUUAUCACGUUCGUGCAGCGAUUAAGUCGGUGACGCAGAGUCACGUGCGAUCGUGUCGAUGAGCCACCACGUUGGACACGGGAAAAAGGUGAUAAAAAACACACAUAUGGCCCUGUGACCAAGGUCGGGUGAUAUUUCGGUCCAGGAGGUGAUCUCGUUCUCGUUUUUCGUUUCUCGAUUCACGUUCACCACUUUUUGACUCAUGAGGUGACUGGAGUUGAUGGGCCGAGGUUAAAAUGGUGAAAAUAGGCAAAAUGAAACUGGCGAUUUUUAACGAUUUCAACGAGAAAGGGUGUCGUUCUGAUAUUUUAACGACAACGAGCCAAUCACCAGGAAUUUUUGGAUAUUUUU